This 87-nucleotide transfer RNA is filed under the name Nostoc sp. RNAcentral's name for it is "tRNA-Ser". It matches the Rfam family "tRNA". Rfam says of the family: Transfer RNA (tRNA) molecules are approximately 80 nucleotides in length. The record is from RNAcentral. RNAcentral also lists the same sequence under 1 other name. Lineage: Bacteria; Bacillati; Cyanobacteriota; Cyanophyceae; Nostocales; Nostocaceae.
GGAGAGGUGGCUGAGUGGCCUAAAGCAUCCUCCUGCUAAGAGGAAGCGGGUGUAUACCCGUCACAGGUUCAAAUCCUGUUCUCUCCG